CUUUACUGAACAUGUACGUGCCUAGGAAGUCUCAGGAAUGGAUAGAAGAUAAAGUACAUAAUAGUUUCCUGAAGCAGCAGAAUGAAAGAACUCUCUGUGGCAUGAAAAUUUACUGGAGGCAGCAGCUGAGGCUGUGGUGGGAGAAGAAUGACAAGAACUGAGCGUGGGCCACGGGCUCUUACCUUCAGCAACUUCAUCAGCUCUUCCAGCUGGACCAUCAGCUCCCGCCUGCUCUCCUGCAGGGCCGACAUCCUCUGCUCCAGUUCAUCCUUCCUUUGCCUAUCCAAGACGAGAAGCCUAUCAGAUAAAGAGACCCUCAAAGAUGGAUCUAAGGCCAGGUGAAAUGGAUUUCAGACCUGAUCCUGCUACUUACCAGUUAUGAGACGCUGAGCAAGUCAUUUAGCAUCCAAUACCUCAUAAAAUGGUGAUAAUGUCUGUUUUGCCUACUUCCUGGACUGUUCUGAGAAUAAUAGGUAAAAGUGCUUUGGAAAGUUUAGAUGACUAUAUAAAGGUAUUACUUAUAUUACCAGAGUGAAUUAAUGAUUAAAAAACUCUUUAGAAAAUCAAUGCCUUUUGAAAAAUAUAUAAAAUUAGCCCAAAUUUAGAUUAAUAGUAAAGAAACCAUAUUAAACUGCUCAGAGAAAACAGGGUCCAGUAGUAAGUACUUUCAGCACUAGACAGAUUCAAGAAGGAUGACAGAUCAGGACGGCUCCCUGUGUUCAAGAACAGUCACUUUUCCUUGAGGAUAGAUUUUAUGCCAUCUACUCCAGCUCAAUAUGUCCAAAACCAGACUUAAGACUUUAUUCCCUAAAUGGUUUUCUUGUCUCUGUCUCUUUUUUUUUCCUUGUCUCUGUCUCUUUUCCCUGUCUCUGCUAUUUUUCCUUCCAGGUGUCAUGGUUGAAAAACUCAGUCCUCUUUGUUACUUUCUUCUUUAUAUCCUGUAUUCAAUCAAUAACUCAAUUCAGAUCAUUCUUUCUUGGAAAAUGUAUGUGCCUAUCUUUCUAUUCCCAUUUCUCUCACUUUAUCUAAGCACUCCUUACCUCAAGCAUGAAACAGUCUCCUUAUGUGAUUAAUCCUGCUUUCUUUUUUUUUUUUUUUGUGACGGAGUCUCACUCUGUCGCCCAGGCUGGAGUGCAGUGGUGCCAUCUUGUCUCAACUGCAACCUCCGCUUCCCCAGUUCAAGUGAUUCUCCUGCCUCAGCCUCCUAAAUAGCUGGGAUUACAGGCAUCGCCACCAUGCCCAGUUAAUUUUUGUAUUUUUAGUAGAGAUGGAGUUUCACCAUGUUGGCCAGGCUGGUCUCGAACUCCUGACCUCAAGUGAUCCACCUGCCUCAGCCUCCCAAAGUGCUGGGAUUACAGUCGUGAGCCACCGCACCUGGCUCUUUCAUCUUUUAUGGUGAGGAAAAAGCAGUGAAAUAGAAGUCAAUGGCCUCAAAGUUGAGUAUCAGCACCAGUAUUUACCAAAUAUGCAACCUUAGACAAGUCACUUAGCCUCAGUUUUCUCUCUUCUAAAAGGGGACUAGUAACAGCAACAAUAUUCUGAGGAUCAUAUAAGGUAAUAAAUAUGAGAGUGUUCUACGAACUUUAAACUGCCGCUCAAAACAAAGCUAUGUUCAUUUCAUCAUCCCAUAAUGAUCUCAACAGACUUUCUAGCAUCACUGACCCUUGCCUGUGCAAUCGAGACCUACGCUGUCUAUCACAGCAGCCGCUAGCCACGCGUGACUACCGAGCCCCUGAAACAGGGCUAGGCUGAACUGAGAUGCACGGCAAUUGUAACAUACACACUGGAAUUCAAAGACUUAGUGCAGGAAACAGCAAAGUAUCUGGAUCAUGUUUUAAUACUGAUUACAUGUUGAAAGGACAAUAUUUUGAAAAUAUCAGGUUAAGUAAGAUAUACUAUUAAAAUUAAUGACGCCUAUUACUUUUUGGUUUUUCAAUGAGGCUGUUAGAAAUGUUUUGAUUAUGUGCGUGGCCUGCAUUUCUAUCGGCGAGUGCGGCUCUAGAUCCCAUCUACAUUCCUGUCCUUAGUACCACACCUCCUAUCUUAUGCCCUUUGUGUCUGGACCUCCAGCUUACGGUUCAUUUUUCCUAAGUGGGCUCCAUCAUUUUAUAACUCACCUCUCUUCCAAAUCUUAUUCAUUCCGUAAUGUCUGACCCAACAUCACUGUCGGGAAGCUGCUCCUGAUCACUUCAGCAGGGACUGCUUGAUUAAGCACUACAGUAAUUAGUGCUCCUCAGUGGUACUUAAUUUACUUUACUGCUGCCAUUCCUACCAUGAUGCAAAAUCCUUGAGGUCAGGGGAUGGGCCUUACUCAUCCUUGCAUGUAUUGAAGGAUUAAGAAAAUAUCAUGCAUCCAGUAUCACCUAAUUAACAUCUACUGAACUUACCAAAAUCAUGAUUUGAAACUCUCCAAGGGUUUCCAAUGACCUAACAAUUAAGACUUUCUAGAAUCUGAUCUCAAUUGCCUGGCUAAUUAUAUCUCCUAUCACUGGCACUCUGAAGAUUGAUGUAAUGAAUGAUUGAAAAGAAAUUCUUAGUUCCAAGACUCUUUCCCUUUUCUGAAAUGUGCCAUAAUUAUUUGGGGGGAAUCAUGCUGAACCCCAAGUGCACUUCCAAUCUGAAAUGUUUUGUCCUACACUCCAUCCAAAUCAUUAUCUACUUUUCAUGGUCUAGCUCAACUUCUACCACCUCCAUGGUUCCAAAUGCUUCCAGAGGAAAAUUAGACACACAAAGGUGGUAGGGAAUAAAUAUAGAUAUAAUACCUAUAUUAUAUAGGUAUUAUAUAUGUAAAAUCUUGUGUGUAUACAUACAUUAUAUUAUAUAUAUUUCCCUACACAGAUUUCUUAUCCAUACUGUUUAUUGACAUUGCACAAUAUUUUUUAACUAUCAAAUUAUUUUAUGUUUUGUUCCAAAACCAGAUUAUAAGUUUUUAGGAAGGACUCAUUGUCUUCUAGUCUUCAUACUCUCUACAUUUCCAGUGCAGUAGACCCUCGAUAAGAAGGAUCUACUCAUUCAAUGUUCUAGGAAGACUUCUUCCUCUGAACUCCUGAGCCUGGGUGUGAUAUUCUUUAUCUGUACUGUGUGUGACCAAACAAUUACGGUAUAAGCUGAACAUGAAUGAGCUACAGCUACAUCCAACCACAGAGAACGAUCCUAAAGGCUAAUAUGGUGGGGGUAGGGGGUGGAGAGGGAAGUCCUCUGGGACUAUCCCCACCAUAUUAGUAUAAUAUUUCUAUUAAGCUUAGAAAACAAAAAGCAAAACUAAACAGCUUAUUACAUAGGAUAGUGAUAAUGCGACAAUAUUGUUUUAAACACAAGGUAAUGAUAAACCAAAUUCUGGAUAGGCGUUCACCCAGUGGGGAAGGUGGAGGCAAGGAAAUGGGGUAAGGGAGAGGUACUUCUAUGGAUGGCAUUGUUUUAGUCAUAUUAUGAGUUCUCAAAUAGGAUGUGGGUUUAUAAGUAUUCAUUUGACUAUUACGCUUCAUAUACGUUUGUCGCACACACAUUCGUCAUACAUUUUAUUGUAAGCAACGUACCAUUAAAAAUAAUAAUAAAGGAAGAAAAGGCA
This 3568-nucleotide long non-coding RNA is filed under the name Homo sapiens (human). RNAcentral describes it as "DTNB antisense RNA 1, transcript variant 1 (DTNB-AS1)". Lineage: Eukaryota; Metazoa; Chordata; Mammalia; Primates; Hominidae. The record is from RNAcentral.